UACGGAGGGGGCUAGCGUUGUUCGGAAUUACUGGGCGUAAAGCGCGCGUAGGCGGACCUGCAAGUCGGGGGUGAAAGCCCGGAGCUCAACUCCGGAACUGCCAUUGAAACUGUUAGACUUGAGGACGAGAGAGGUGAGUGGAAUUCCCAGUGUAGAGGUGAAAUUCGUAGAUAUUGGGAAGAACACCGGUGGCGAAGGCGGCUCACUGGCUCGUAUCUGACGCUCAGGCGCGACAGCGUGGGGAUCAAACAGG
RNAcentral lists this ribosomal RNA (253 nucleotides) under uncultured bacterium. Its description in RNAcentral is "partial 16S ribosomal RNA". It matches the Rfam family "Bacterial small subunit ribosomal RNA", at positions 524 to 776 of the family's 1533-position model. The record is from RNAcentral.